Molecule: ribosomal RNA, 1462 nt
Filed under: uncultured prokaryote
Description: partial 16S ribosomal RNA
Rfam family: Bacterial small subunit ribosomal RNA
Source: RNAcentral
AUUGAACGCUGGCGGCAGGCCUAACACAUGCAAGUCGAACGGUAACGGGAGGAAGCUUGCUUCUAUGCCGACGAGUGGCGGACGGGGGAGUAAUGCUUGGGAAUCUGCCCAGGUAGUGGGGGGUAACUUGGGGAACCUCAAGCUAAUACCGCAUAAUUCCUACGGGAGAAGCAGGGGAUCUUCGGACCUUGCGCUAUUAGAUGAGCCUAUGUGGGAUUAGCUAGUUGGUGGGGUAAUGGCUUACCAAGACUACAAUCCGUAGCUGGUUUGAGAGGAUGAUCAGCCACACUGGGACUGAGAUACGGCCCAGACUCCUACGGGAGGCAGCAGUAGGGAGUAUUGGAUAAUGGGCGUAAGCCUGAUCCAGCAAUGCCGCGUGUGUGAAGAAGGCCUGUGGGUUGUAAAGCACUUUCAAUUGGGAAGAAAGAUUUAGAGUUAAUACCUCUUAAUAUUGACGUUACCAAUAGAAGAAGCACCGGUUAACUCUGUGCCAGUAGCCGCGGUAAUACAGAGGGUGCGAGCGUUAAUCGGAAUUACUGGGCGUAAAGAGUACGUAGGUGGUUAAAUCAGUCGGAUGUGAAAGCCCCAGGUUUAACUUGGGAAUUGCAUUCGAUACUGUUUGACUAGAGUACGGUAGAGAGAAGCGGAAUUCCUAGUGUAGCGGUGAAAUGCGUAGAUAUUAGGAAGAACACCGGGGGAAGGCGCGGUCUUGAUCAAUACUGACACUGAGGUACGAAAGCGUGGGGAGCAAACAGGAUUAGAUACCCUGGUAGUCCACGCCCUAAACGAUGAGAACUAGAUGUUGGGGGAAUUUAUAAUCCUUUAGUAUCGUAGCUAACGCGAUAAGUUCUCCGCCUGGGGAGUACGGCCGCAAGGUUAAAACUCAAAUGAAUUGACGGGGGCCCGCACAAGCGGUGGAGCAUGUGGUUUAAUUCGAUGCAAUGCGAAGAACCUUACCUGGCCUUGACAUCCUUGGAAUUUUACAGAAACGUAAGUGCGCCUUCGGGGCAAGGGACAGGUGCUGCACGGCUGUCGUCAGCUCGUGUCGUGAGAUGUUGGGUUAAGUCCCGCAACGAGCGCAACCCUUAGCCUUAUUUGCCAGACGGUAUGGUGGGAACUCUAAGGAGACUGCCGGUGACAAACCGGAGGAAGGUGGGGACGACGUCAAGUCAUCAUGGCCCUUACGACCUGGGCUACACACGUGCUACAAUGGCCGGUACAGAGGGCUGCAAUACCGCGAGGUGGAGCGAAUCUCAGAAAACCGGUCGUAGUCCGGAUUGGAGUCUGCAACUCGACUCCAUGAAGUCGGAAUCGCUAGUAAUCGCGAAUCAGAAUGUCGCGGUGAAUACGUUCCCGGGCCUUGUACACACCGCCCGUCACACCAUGGGAGUGGAUUGCACCAGAAGUAGGUAGCUUAACCUUCGGGAGAGCGCUUACCACGGUGUGGUUCAUGACUGGGGUG